RNAcentral lists this ribosomal RNA (253 nucleotides) under uncultured bacterium. RNAcentral describes it as "partial 16S ribosomal RNA". It matches the Rfam family "Bacterial small subunit ribosomal RNA", at positions 524 to 776 of the family's 1533-position model. The record is from RNAcentral.
UACAGGGGGGGCAAGCGUUGUUCGGAAUUACUGGGCGUAAAGUGUGCGCAGGCGGCCGCGCAAGUCGAGUGUGAAAGCCCCGGGCUUAACUUGGGAAUUGCGCUCGAAACUACGUGGCUGGAGUGUGGCAGAGGAAGGUGGAAUUCCAGGUGUAGCGGUGAAAUGCGUAGAGAUCUGGAGGAACACCGAUGGCGAAGGCAGCCUUCUGGGCCAACACUGACGCUCAUGCACGAAAGCGUGGGGAGCAAACAGG